CCAUUUUGUUUUCGAUCGUUAAGUGGGCACGUGGUGGAGCGUUGGUGUGUCAGGGGUGUCGACUUCUUCCACAAACUAUUUAAGAGACAGCAGCAGGAGGGACUGGACUGGAUUGUAGAAAACUUCAAGAGUUAAGGAGUGCGGAGUGCUGCUCAGGUGCCUUUGUUUCAGGUCAUAGUCUCUGUUCUAUAUAGCAGCCAACCACAAGGGUUGAUUG
Molecule: long non-coding RNA, 217 nt
Filed under: Homo sapiens (human)
Lineage: Eukaryota; Metazoa; Chordata; Mammalia; Primates; Hominidae
Description: HSALNT0408765
Source: RNAcentral